Molecule: ribosomal RNA, 254 nt
Filed under: uncultured bacterium
Lineage: Bacteria
Description: partial 16S ribosomal RNA
Rfam family: Bacterial small subunit ribosomal RNA
Source: RNAcentral
UACGUAGGGCGCAAGCGUUAUCCGGAAUUAUUGGGCGUAAAGAGCUCGUAGGCGGUGUGUCGCGUCGGCCGUGAAAACCUGCAGCUUAACUGUGGGCUUGCGGUCGAUACGGGCAUCACUGGAGUUCGGCAGGGGAGACUGGAAUUCCUGGUGUAGCGGUGAAAUGCACAGAUAUCAGGAGGAACACCGGUGGCGAAGGCGGGUCUCUGGGCCGAUACUGACGCUGAGGAGCGAAAGCGUGGGGAGCGAACAGG